UCUGUAAAAAGAAAAAAAACGAAAAAAAUAAUUGAUCAAUUGUAUUUAGAUGCGAUAUUAUCAUAAAUUGGCGAAAGCGAUGGAUAUUUCAUUGUAGAAAUAAAUUCGAUCGUAUUACAAAUACGAUCUAACUCCCAGUGCCAAUUUUAAAUUAAAAUAUGGAAUAUGUAUAUUCGUGCCAGCGAUGUAACAAUUGAAAACUAAGCUAAUACAAUUUCUAGCCCCAAACGAAAUAUGCAAACGCAGUUACCUACAUAAUAACAAUGCUCUCAUUCCACGACAGUGUUUAUAUUUAUGUUCAGAUAAUAUUAUGGCAGCUCAGUCAUGCGUAUGUUAGAUACAACAAAACUAGUCGUACAAACGCCUACAUUUUAUAUGCAAUAUGCACUAGCAUACACAAUCCAACACUUAACAUGGAACACAGAUAGCUCUUAUAUAGGCACAGGUAGCUACAUUGAUUAGGUACAUGAUCUAAAUUUGCAAAAAUUCUCAUUAAUUAGUGACAUCGAUGGUGAAAUUUCAAGAAAAGUGGAUAGGUAAGUACGUAUAAAGCCUAAAGGUAUACAAUGAAACGUAUCAAGAGAAGGCUAUUCCAGUCCAUUCUACUUUGAAAAGUAAUUUCAAAAAGCUGAUCGGCUUAUAUGGCCAUAGCCAACAUAAUACGCCUUUUUAAUAAAGCAAACCACAAAUUUUAAAUCAAUUUUUUUCAAAAUGAAUGUAAAGAUGGCACGACAUACAUACAUAGUGCAGAGUAUAGUAAACCAAUAAAGACUUCUUUAGUGACAGUAACCGAACGACAAAAUAAUCUUCUUAGAGCUCGUAUCAUGGCACUCACACAUCCUAAAUUAUGAUGACUCUCAUAGCCUAUCCUGUGACGAUCAUCUUUCCUUUAUCAGUACGUCUCCGUAUGCAUUUCUGGGGCUUCCGAUACUAAACAUGUGGCAUGGCGUAUAAAUGUACACAAUUCAACUCCGCAUACAACGAUUUUCUACUUUAUUCUACGUAUGAACAUAGUAGGCAGACGAUCUCUUUAGCCAAGGAUAUUGGAGGCAUUUCGUUCGAAAAUGAUUGCAACAGAAAGUUGAAACUUUCAGAAGUUAUACCUAGUCAAGUAUUUUCAUAAGGCAAGUACUGAAGGAACGCAGUUUUCAAAAAACUGAAAAUCGAAAAUACUGAAUUGACUCAUUGUAUGUAGGUACCUAUACUUUUUGGUUGGAAAUGUAAACUAAUAAUUUCUUAUUAAUCCAAGGGGAAUUAAUCGAAAUCAAUGAAAUAAUAUCAUUAUUCAUCAUUCCAGAUGGGUACCUAUACCUAUACCUACAUUUAUUAUGCAACAGCCAGAAGCCACAUGAAAUUUUUUUAAAAUUUCACUGAUUCACGCCAUUCUCUUCCUAAGUGUGAAAUUCUGCGUAUUCUACGAUCCAAUGUAUAUACUAUGUACUUAGCUCGUUGACCAUCAGGAAACAAAUAAACAUACCUAUGUAUCCAUGUAUAAUAAUAAUGCAUUGCAAUUACAGCUGUGGCACUACGGCAGUAGGUAUUUAUCAAAUAGAUACGUGUAUUUAUAAGAAAAUGUUUCAUCGCGUACGGAUAAAGCAUAUUAAGUACCUGUAUGUAAGGUAGAACACCGCUACAAAAAUUAUUAUUCGCCAUUGAACAAA
Molecule: long non-coding RNA, 1661 nt
Organism: Planococcus citri (citrus mealybug)
Lineage: Eukaryota; Metazoa; Arthropoda; Insecta; Hemiptera; Pseudococcidae
Exons: 3
Source: RefSeq, a predicted model, not a curated record